UCAAUCGGUAGAGCGUGAGACUCUUAAUCUCAAGGUUGUGGGUUCGACCCCCAC
This 54-nucleotide transfer RNA is filed under the name Mycoemilia scoparia. Its description in RNAcentral is "tRNA-Lys". It matches the Rfam family "tRNA", at positions 12 to 63 of the family's 71-position model. Rfam says of the family: Transfer RNA (tRNA) molecules are approximately 80 nucleotides in length. The record is from RNAcentral. Lineage: Eukaryota; Fungi; Kickxellomycota; Kickxellomycetes; Kickxellales; Kickxellaceae.